CGUGUAGGCGGCUUGGUAAGUCAGAUGUGAAAGCCCUGGGCUCAACCCAGGAAGUGCAUUUGAAACUACUAGACUUGAGUACGGGAGAGGAGGGGGGAAUUCCCGGUGUAGAGGUGAAAUUCGUAGAUAUCGGGAGGAAUACCGGUGGCGAAGGCGGCCCCCUGGAUCAAUACUGACGCUGAGGUACGAAAGCGUGGGUAGCGAACA
Molecule: ribosomal RNA, 207 nt
Filed under: uncultured bacterium
Lineage: Bacteria
Description: partial 16S ribosomal RNA
Rfam family: Bacterial small subunit ribosomal RNA
Source: RNAcentral